RNAcentral lists this ribosomal RNA (250 nucleotides) under uncultured bacterium. RNAcentral describes it as "partial 16S ribosomal RNA". It matches the Rfam family "Bacterial small subunit ribosomal RNA", at positions 524 to 773 of the family's 1533-position model. The record is from RNAcentral.
UACGGAGGGUGCAAGCGUUAUCCGGAUUCACUGGGUUUAAAGGGUGCGUAGGCGGUUUAUUAAGUCAGUGGUGAAAGCCUGUGGCUCAACCAUGGAAUUGCCAUUGAAACUGAUAAACUUGAGUAUAGUUGAAGUGGGCGGAAUACAUCAUGUAGCGGUGAAAUGCUUAGAUAUGAUGUAGAACACCAAUUGCGAAGGCAGCUCGCUAAACUAUCACUGACGCUGAGGCACGAAAGCGUGGGUAGCGAAC